This 72-nucleotide transfer RNA is filed under the name Ovis aries (sheep). It matches the Rfam family "tRNA". From Rfam's summary of the family: Transfer RNA (tRNA) molecules are approximately 80 nucleotides in length. Their secondary structure includes four short double-helical elements and three loops (D, anti-codon, and T loops). Further hydrogen bonds mediate the characteristic L-shaped molecular structure. tRNAs have two regions of fundamental functional importance: the anti-codon, which is responsible for specific mRNA codon recognition, and the 3' end, to which the tRNAs corresponding amino acid is attached (by aminoacyl-tRNA synthetases). tRNAs cope with the degeneracy of the genetic code in two manners: having more than one tRNA (with a specific anti-codon) for a particular amino acid; and 'wobble' base-pairing, i.e. permitting non-standard base-pairing at the 3rd anti-codon position. Lineage: Eukaryota; Metazoa; Chordata; Mammalia; Artiodactyla; Bovidae. The record is from Rfam by way of RNAcentral.
GCCUAGGUGGCUCAGCCGGUAAAGCAUCUGCCUACAAUGCGGGAGACCCGGGUUCGAUCCCUGGGUUGGGAA